RNAcentral lists this ribosomal RNA (494 nucleotides) under uncultured bacterium. RNAcentral describes it as "partial 16S ribosomal RNA". It matches the Rfam family "Bacterial small subunit ribosomal RNA", at positions 28 to 507 of the family's 1533-position model. The record is from RNAcentral.
GACGAACGCUGGCGGCGUGCUUAACACAUGCAAGUCGAACGGUGAAGCGCCUUCCUUUUUGGUGGGUGUGGAUGAGUGGCGAACGGGUGAGUAACACGUGAGUAACCUGCCCCCUUCUUCUGGAUAACCGCAUGAAAGUGUUGCUAAUACGGGAUAUUCUGGGUCUGUCGCAUGAUGGGUCUGGGAAAGAUAUUGUUUCGGUGGGGGAUGGGCUCGCGGCCUAUCAGCUUGUUGGUGGGGUGAUGGCCUACCAAGGCGGUGACGGGUAGCCGGCCUGAGAGGGUGGACGGUCACACUGGGAGUGAGACACGGACCAGACUCCUACGGGAGGCAGCAGGGGGGAAUAUUGCACAAUGGGCGCAAGCCUGAUGCAGCGACGCCGCGUGAGGGAUGGAGGCCUUCGGGUUGUGAACCUCUUUCGCCAGUGAAGCAGGCCUGCCUCGUUUGUGGGUGGGUUGACGGUAGCUGGAGAAGAAGCGCCGGCUAACUACGUG